ACUCUCGAAAGAGUCUUUUUAAUUCGCCUUUCUCGAACACAUCAAAGGAUUCUGAAUCAGACCAAUGGGUUAAAAAAUGUAACAGUUUCCAAGUUGACAUGCAGGUGGACACAAUACUCUCAUCAUCUCAACAAGAAGCUCAUCAGCAAAGAUUAGAAAAACUUCGGCAGGAACUUGAUUACAUUAAAACCGAUGCCUGGAAGUACAAACCCAUUGAGGACCUGAUUGGAUUCUAGCACAGUUGUGCAUUUAUAUAUAUAAUAUGAAUUUAUGUGAAUAGCAAUAUUUAAUACUACAGAGCUAUUAAAAAAAAGCUGAUGCCUUUCAAAUUCAAAUUAGGCACAUAAUUAAGCGGAAGUUGCCUAAAUAACCCAUGGGUAUACCGAGUAUACGAAGCAUGUCAAAUAAGUGAACAUUAAUUAAUCCAAAACGUAAAUUGUGCUCUCUUUGGAAAUUAUUUUUAACAACUCUUUGUGCUGAAAGAAACGGUGGUCACGUUGAAGGACAUGGGGUAUAGCUUGUGAACAUUUUUUAUUAUAAUCUCUGUAAAUAAUAAUAAACCAUUUAUCAGAUUGUUUUUAUAGCACACGUGUCAUGUUGAAGGUUAUCACUUGGAAUUGUCACAAUAGGCCUGUCAUAAGUUCGCGGCUCAUUUGAAUAUAAAAGGCAUCACUUUUUUUACUCCCCUGAGGGUGCGCCAUUUACUGUUCUUGAUAAUUUAAAACACUCUGCGAGAAGUGUGUGUAAUGGAAAGCACACAUUUUUUUGGAACAGUUUCAGUCUAUUACAUAUGUGUUCUACUAUGCGUUUUAUAAUUGUUCGCAAAAAAAUAAACAGUAUAGUGAUUUCAUGUAUUUUCAUGUCUAUUUAAGACAUUUUUAGACACUUGUACAAAUCGAAUCUCACACAACUAUAGCCAUCACAUUCCUGACAAUAGAUGUAUGUCCAUGGAUGAAGAUAAAGUCUUAAAAUAAGGCCAACACAACAUUACGAUUAAACACAUUUGUUACCGUCACUUUUAAACACGUAAAAAUUGUACGUGUCACUGUCACGUGUUGUGUUCUAGCUACCCCUAAAGUAGGGGUAAUCAGAACAGUUCCGAACUUUCAUGUGACAGUGUUCUGUUCCACUCCAUUACUGCUCCUGAAAUCUGGAGUACUCCGAACAGUAAAUGGAGCAGCCUGCUGUAUAAUAAUAUGCAAAUAAGACAUACAAUGUAUCACUAUUUUUUGUGAUACAAGUCACACAAAGUCUUCUGUUUUAUUAUCAUGACCUGGAAAAGAUGGAUUUUUACAUACUUAUCUGGAUCGUUCUAUAUUCUUUAGAGUAUGGUGUGCAUUCAUGUAUUAUUUAAUUUCAUUCCGCCAA
Molecule: long non-coding RNA, 1368 nt
Organism: Dendronephthya gigantea
Lineage: Eukaryota; Metazoa; Cnidaria; Anthozoa; Malacalcyonacea; Nephtheidae
Exons: 3
Source: RefSeq, a predicted model, not a curated record